GAUCGUAGCCUACUUUGAAGCCGGCGGGUUGGGCCACACUCCAAUGAACCUACAGACCGACCGAGCGAGAAAAGCCCGGCGGAGGUACACCGACGGCCCGAAAACCCCACAAACAACGCGGUAAAGCGGCUCAAAGUGUGACCGGAGAAGUUUUAGUUUUCGGUUUGGCCGCUCUUCUUCGUCGGCUUCACCUCGUUCCUCCGUAGACACAGUGUGAGAUAGUGAUUGGAGUUGACAAGACCGCUCCACUACUGUAUCUACCCCCUCCUCCCCCGCCUCCUCUCCCGCUCCGCACAACCAGGAAAUCGUCGAGGUGUGCUUCUUUAUCCCCGCCUGUGACUACCCCGUUUGCGGGUGUAGAUGUGUUUGUUUUCGGUCGUUUUUUUCCCUUUCAUUUUUUAAAAAAUUACCCCACGAGUAUUGACUUUUAGAGCCGGGCUUCACCCUCUGAAGUCAGUCGAAGUUGCCUGCGAGGAGAGGGUCUCCACUCUGGCCGAACAAUGAGUGAGUCGAGUAUUUGCCAGGCUCGGGCCACUGUGAUGAUCUAUGACGAUGGCAAUAAGAAGUGGCUUCCGGCAGGCACUGGACCCCAAGCCUUCAGCAGAGUCCAGAUCUAUCACAACCCCACCAACAAUGCCUUCAGGAUAGUGGGACGCAAGAUGCAGACGGACCAGCAGGUGGUAAUAAAUUGUCCAAUCGUGAAAGGUCUAAAGUAUAACCAGGCCACACCCAAUUUUCACCAGUGGCGGGAUGCCCGGCAGGUGUGGGGGCUGAACUUUGGCAGCAAGGAGGAUGCUGCUCUAUUUGCCAAUGGCAUGGCUCAUGCUCUGGAGGUCCUCAGCUCCAUGGCAGAUGCAGGUUAUGCAACCCUCCCCCGCCCAGUGUCAAAUGGACCUUCUCCAGAAGAGCUUGAACAGCAGCGGAGGUUGGAGCAGCAGAGGCUGGAACAGCAGGAGCGAGAGCGACAAGAGAGGGAACGACAGGAAAGAGAGAGACUGGAGAGAGAAAGACAAGCUGCUGCAGUCCAAGCUCCUCCUGCCCCGCCGAUGGCCCCUGGAGGCCCUCCUCCUCCACCAGCCCCUCCUCCACCCCCUGGCCCUCCCCCUGCUGCUGGCGUCCCUCCCCCUCCAGGACCACCUCCCUCAGGACCUCCACCAGCCCCACCCUUGCCCUCUGCAGGAGGUGGUGGCGGCUCGGGUGAUGGUGGUGGCGGAUUAGGAGGAGGUGGGGGCUUGGCGGCAGCCCUGGCCGGAGCUAAACUCCGUAAAGUAUCCAAGCAGGAGGAUGGAACUCCUGCACCUUCAGCAGCCAAGUCUGACUCCAGCCGCAGCAGCAACUCCUCCAUUGGAGGAGGCGGCGGAGGAGGAGGAGGAGGAGGAGGAGGAGGUGGAGGUGGAGGAGGAGGAGGAGGAGGAGGUUUGAUGGGUGAGAUGAGUGCCAUCUUAGCAAGAAGGAGAAAAGCUGCAGACACUGGAGAGAAACCGCCUGUGAAGACACACGACAAUGAUGAUUCAGAGCCUCAAGGUCAAAGCGAGCCUGUGAGAAGACCUUGGGAGAAGGCGUCCAUGAGCAGGGCAAAAGUUGCAAGCAACAGUAAUGAUGCAGGUGGACCGGAUGACUCAGAUUUAGAGAAAAUGAACAGGUGACUUUCUUCUUGUUCUAGUAUUAUCGAUCGUUGGCCAAAAGAGCUGAAGCAGUUUAAUCAUUUUACUGGAGAAAGCUGACAGAAAUUAGUUAUUUAAAGGUGGAGUAAGCUAUUCCUUGUUGAUAUGUGAACGAAAUAGUCAGAAACCUACACCCUUCCCUUCAGUGCUCUUUACUUACUCAGCAUCUGACAAAAAAUGUUCAACCCUUACACAACAUGGAUGUGGAUUUUCUCCUUCUCAUAGUUCAAUCAAAACAAACAUAAACUUCAAAACUCUUCAAGGAAAUGACGUAUAAAAAACAAAAACGGUAAAACCUAAUGAAACCUAGUUGUUUUAAUAUUGACUGCAAAUCUGAUUUUCCAGCCUGCUGCACAUGUAGAGAUUUGCAGUCACUAUAGUGUACAUGAACACGUUCUUUAACACUUUGUCUGAUGUUUCUGCAGGAGAUCUUGGAAGAAGUGCGGAAAGAAUUGCAAAAAGUCAAAGAGGAAAUUAUUGGAGCCUUUGUUCAGGAGCUUCAGAAGAGAAGCACAUAGUUCUGCUGAGUGUCAGGUGUAAAGGAGGGAUGUGAUAGAUGGAGGUGGUUGAGGCCCCAUCGAGGCCUCUCCUCCACUGCGCCCUCUCAUGUAGCCCAGGGAUUUCUCUUUUUCUCCUACACAUUUUCUCUUUUCUCUAUCUCUCUUACGCAAACACACGUGAACUGCUUGCUUCAUUGUAACAACAUGCAUAUUCACUUCAUGUAAAUGGUAACCCAGGGAACCUCCUCACGCCGCCAUCCAACACUGUUGAUGAUCACUCAUACGUUGCGGCGGUGAUCCCAUCCUGUACCAUCUCUCCCUGGUCAGUCAUCCCGUCCUCUCGUGUUCUCCAUGCGUUCUGUUCAUCUGCACCAAUUCAGAGCGCACAGCUACAAUCGCUCUCGCGUUUGUCAUCAUUACCCUUUUUGCCGCAGAAUCCUGCUACUUGUGUCCUCUCCCUUCUGCUAUCAGACGCACCAUUUAUCGAUAGUGCAGUAUUCGGGACAGUGUAUGAGUCAUAUUUUAGCUGUAUAGCAAGAUGCUGGCAUGCUGGGGAUCAUUUUCUCUCCUCCUCAGUUGGCACAAAUUGUUCAGACAUCUGCUAGUAGGUUAUCCUCUCUUGUGCUAGUUGGAGGUGGAAAAACCAACGAUAAUCGAGAUGGAUCAGAGAACCCAGCUCCCUCACUACUGAUCUCCGUCAAGUGGACUUUGAGCUCCCAGCAAUGACUAAGAACUCGAACAGCACAACUCAGCCUUCACUGCUGCAACGAAGAGAUGUUAGAGGAAGAGGAGACAAGCAAAGGGAAUCUGAUGGACAACCUGAGUGCUGUGAAAGAGAGUUGUGUUGUAGUUUUAUGAUGUGUGAGAAUGUAUUCUCUUGCAUUGCACUUGUUCCAGAGGAAGUGUGUCUGCGUGCCACACUGCCUUGAUAGACUAUUCCCUCUCACUCAAAAAUGAGAUAUUUGUUGGCCAGUGCAGUGGGUCCUACUGUAAACUGUGCUUCCGCUUGUUGUUUUCUUCCAUUCUAGCUGUUUUCUAAUUUGAAACAUGAAAAAAAUGGCCAUGAUGAGGUCAAUUAAUUUGGCCAUGACCAACUGCCUUGAGAAUAAAUAUAUAAAUAUAAUAUAAUAUAUAUAAGGAAAUAUAUAUUUGUUUUGAGGGAAAAAUGAAAUGGUGUUUUCUAUUUAAUUGAAAUGACUGGUGAAUUGGGAUUUAAUUUUUCUUUUUUCAUUGAUUGUUUUCUUAUGAAUGUAUUUGGGUUUACUGUUUCUUUUCUAAUAGAGUCUAGGCUUUUUACACUGAAAUAUAAAGAAAACAGCUUAGAGACACUGGAUUAGAAAUGCCUUAUAGUCGAAUACAGCUGCUUCUUAAAAUGCA
This is an RNA transcript of Acanthochromis polyacanthus (spiny chromis), 3541 nucleotides long. It is a transcript of the gene named vasodilator stimulated phosphoprotein b, with no coding region annotated. Lineage: Eukaryota; Metazoa; Chordata; Actinopteri; Pomacentridae. The transcript has 12 exons. The record is from RefSeq and is a predicted model, not a curated record.